Molecule: non-coding RNA, 721 nt
Organism: Pocillopora verrucosa
Lineage: Eukaryota; Metazoa; Cnidaria; Anthozoa; Scleractinia; Pocilloporidae
Source: RefSeq, a predicted model, not a curated record
AGGGGAGCCGGGCAAGAAGUUGGUCGGUCAUUUCACAUCCUAGAAUUUAAAGGAAAGAAAGUGAUGCUUUCAUCUAGAUCAUUGUGGAUCGCUUCCUUGGUUUUUGGAAAAGACAACAUUCAAGGGAAGGGUGUUUGUGACACAUGCAACCAAAGCAAUAUACAAGUACAAUGCAUGAUUUAGAUAUCACAGAUGCAUAUUGCAUAUUAGGAUAUACCACACGAGUGGCUGGUGUGCAGAUGAUUAGCAAGAAUGUUACACCUCCAAGCCACCAAAGAGACAAUAUCAUAUCUCAAGAGUUUAAUUUGCAAUCCUUUUUUUUCAUUAUAUGGACAGAAAUGAACUUUUAAGGUUAAAGCUAGAACUUUUGGCCUCUAUGCAGUAUAUACUAAAACAAUUAUUGACCUCAGUGUUGGUGAAAGUGGUGGAUACUUACCAAGCCAUUUUGCAGCUUGGUAAAUAUCCACCAUUAUUAAGUUUUCAACUCCAAACACUCAGCUCCAGUUAUCAGCUCUUCUUCUUAGUCACCUUAUGUGGAAGGGCAUGGCCCCAUCUGUUGUGUAGCUGAAAAAAGGCUCCAAACAUAGCCUGGUUGGUUAUUGACCAUCUCAUAUCCAUUUGCACAUUCAUGGAAUGAUUGUUAACUAUUCCCCUCCAUUUUAGUGAAUAUACGAGUCAUGUAACCUCCAGAGUCCAGCUCUCAAACAGAAUAGGCACCAGU